RNAcentral lists this long non-coding RNA (717 nucleotides) under Marmota monax (woodchuck). The record is from RNAcentral. Lineage: Eukaryota; Metazoa; Chordata; Mammalia; Rodentia; Sciuridae.
GUGGACCUUUGUUGCUCAGGAUGCAGGAGAAGGAAGGAGGGUUGCAGACACAAUCUCCUGGUCAUUCAACCCAAGAUUCUACACCUUAAAAAAAGAACAGAGUGAAAUCUGAAGCUGGGCUGGGAAAAAGGUACAGGAAGUGAGUGUCCCCAACAGUGUCACCAACAAUGGGUGCCUUGGCCUUGGAAGACUCUAACAAUAACUGAAUGCUCAGCAGUUCCUGGAUGCUAGCCCAGCUCCCCUUCUCCCUGGAAGACUCUGAAAUUCUGUGAUGAGAACCUGAUGUAUUAAUACGGAUCUUUUAGGACUGAGGAAUGCAGAAACAAUAGAAUGAAGAACCAACCUGGAGAAUGUGGUGACUGUAAACUAAAGAAGAGCGACAUCGAGGGCAGGAAUUGCAGGGACAGAGAGACUGCACAGACCCAAGCAAGAUAUAUUGGUCUUGAAGUUGAAGACAGAGGUAGAAUGUGGUUCUCCUUAGAGAUUGUCAGAAAGAUCAGUUGGUUCUCAGUCUUGGGGGAUUAGGAACAAUUCUGCCUGAGGCAGAGGGUUGGAGCAGAUGACCUUUCAAGAUUCCUUGUCUCCUGAUGAUGCUGAGAAGACAUUUCUCAUCGCCUUGACAGUCCUGGAAUGUCUUUUCUUAAUGGGGAAUUUAUCUGCAGGAUUCAAUUUAACUGUUGCAUUUGUAUUUUGUUCAUGCACCUGCCCUGGGGCAAU